RNAcentral lists this ribosomal RNA (364 nucleotides) under uncultured bacterium. Its description in RNAcentral is "bacterial SSU rRNA". It matches the Rfam family "Bacterial small subunit ribosomal RNA", at positions 338 to 699 of the family's 1533-position model. The record is from RNAcentral.
CCUACGGGAGGCAGCAGUAAGGAAUAUUGGUCAAUGGAGGCAACUCUGAACCAGCCAUGCCGCGUGCAGGAUGACGGCCCUAUGGGUUGUAAACUGCUUUUAUACAAGAGAAAACCCUGGUACGUGUACCAGGUUGAUAGUAUUGUAAGAAUAAGCAUCGGCUAACUUCGUGCCAGCAGCCGCGGUAAGACGAAGGAUGCAAGCGUUAUCCGGAUUCAUUGGGUUUAAAGGGUGCGUAGGCGGACUGAUAAGUCAGUGGUGAAAUCUCUUUGCUUAACAAGAAACUGCCAUUGAUACUGUCGGUCUAGAGUAUAGAUGACGUUGGCGGAAUAUGACAUGUAGUGGUGAAAUACCUUAGAUAUGU